UUUAACAGUCCAGGUGUCAAGGGCAAAGGGACCCAAUCCGGCAGAAGACAAAGAUCCUAUAUUUGAACGUGGCUCUACCACAACCUACUCAAGCUUUAGGAAGGGCAGCUACACCAAACCCUGGUCCAGCGGAGAUCAGACGUCAGUCAAAACGCACCUCUUAAUCCAACAUGUGUUAUACAUUUCAUUUAUAUAGGAUCCUUUCUUUGACUAUUCCAGAGACUGAAAUGUUUUACUUGGCCAUCAGCAUGGUGGGGACAGACUUCUCCAUGACUGGUCAGCUGUUUCCACACCGAGCUCGAAAAGAGAUUAAGUAUGUAAUGAGAUCAACAAUCAAGCGGCCCUUACUCUUCUGACCAUCGGGAACCCAGCUCAGAUGAUCCAGACAUCAGAAAUGCCCUGUACAAGUGGAAAUGAUAUUGUUGUACAUGAAGAGGUCGUCCAUGAGGAAGAUAUCACAGAAACAGCCAUCAUGUCUAGUUCUUCUGUAAGCUGUGAGUCUGAGACAAAAGGUGACGUUGAAUUUUCGAACUGUGAAACUCAUAUUCCAGAACCUUCUGCUGAAGAAACCAUCAUCCAGAAAGAAGAACCAAUCAAAUUACAGACAACUGAUCUCAUCCUGCUCCCAUUCAACAUGAUACACAGUCUCCACCAAGUAAAAGAGGACGAUACUCCAAACCCAAACCCAAUAUUAGUCAGUGUUUGAGAACCAGAUGAGCUCCACAGCAGCAGAUCUCUCCAGAACUUGUCACAGGUUCUUUGGGGACCUCUAAGUGUCCGUCUUCCACAGAACAGGAUAAAAAUCCAAUGCAAGAAGAUUGUGUUCCUGUGGAUCACCUGCCAGAUUCCUUUACCAUCCGCCCUGAGGUACUACAGCCGGAUAUAUCAUCUGAAACAAGAGAUGUCAUUCCUGAAAGAGUGACUAAAGAAGAUAAUAGAUCCGUUUCAUCUUUGAAGAGAAAGGAUGAUGAUAUAAUCACAGAGGAAGAUAUAAAAGAACAAGAAGGGUUGGGAUCAGAACCACAGCUGACUAAAAGUGUGAACGAGUCUCAGAGCACAUCAGUUGAGUCCUCUAAACCUGUCAGGAGGCACUGUAGACUCAAACCUCAACCAAACCUGACUCAGACAUCCAGACGCAGCAGCACAUCAACCACAGCAGGUAACAGCCACCUUUAUGAUUUAUAUAACUUUUUAAUAUUGACAUUUGCUUAUAAAUGUUUUGUAUUCACAUUUUUUAUAAUGUCAUUCUCAUUUUCGUUACUGUGAUAUGAUUGUUAAAAAACAAGAAAAAACAAGCAGAAAUUAACAUAAUACCAUGUAUAAAUUAUUGUAACUUUUUUUAAUAAGAUGUAUUUUUUUGUGAUUAUAGCUGUAGAUGCUUUUUAAACGUUCAAAAUUUGUUUAAUAGCUAGAAUUUUUUUUAAUUUUUUUUAUGAAAUUUAUUUAUUCAUUUAUUUAUUUUUGUAAUAUAUAUGAUUUUUUUAUUAGAAUUUACAUGAUUGUUUAAAUAAUAAUAACAAUAAUAAUAAAAACUUGAAAUCUGUGUUAGUUUUACUAUAAAUUAUAUAUUUUCCAGUAUUUUAAAAUUACUUAUAAAAAUAUGUUUGUAAUCAUCCAGUCUUUUUAGAAUAUUGUUUAAUAUUGUGUAAAUGUGCUUUAAUGUCGCAAAAAUAAUGAUUGACAAUUGAAUUAAAAUCAAAUCCAAAUUAUUAUGCAACAUAUAAGUUAGUAAUUUAUUUAUCAAAAUCAUCCGCUGCUCAGGCUUCCAUGAACACUUUCACUGAAAGUGCUGAAGAGGAUUCUGUAUUUACCACAGAACUUUACGUAUCCAAAAGUGCAGCUCAACAAGGAGCAUCAAGCAUUGAAUCAGCAGAGGUAAAAUAUCUGUUAAAUACUGUUAAACCUCAUCGGCAUACACUCAGAUAUUUCAGCUUUUAUUCUCACUUUCUAUAUUUGUAUUAAUAAAACCGGAUUUGAUCUUUCUCUACUCGUGCAGAACUCAGAUGAAGAACCCACAAGUGUCUCCAAAUACUUCUUAAGUGACAUCUUUACUGAAGUUGAUGAACUAGAAGACAUGGAUUUAGGCCAAAGGUUGGAAUUACAAACCAGUCACAACUAACUAAACAGUCAGAAAUAUAGUUUGACAUAAGUUGGAUGUAUAGACAUCUGAAUAUUUGGAAGGGCACUUCUACCAAGAAGAGCCACAACUGAAGAGAUGCAGCAAAAACGUACCUCAGUAAUAGCUGACAUAAUGUCUUUUAUGUCAUUAUAAUUUUAUUUAAGGAUAAAUAAGUAUUAAUUCAGUUAAGUUUUUGUUACUGUUGCACUCUUUUGUUAUGUAAAGUUGUAUUAUAAUUCAUGUCUGAUCUGAGCCUAACUGAAUUUUUUAUUUAUUUAUUUGGUCUCGACCUGCAUUUUAUUUCCAGUUAUGAAUUAGGAACGUUAAUUUCUCUCACAGUAAGUGAUUUUUCUUUUAUUAUUUAUUCAUCUUUUUUAAGAGCAGCUUUGAAACAAACCUCUAUUUUAAAUAUGCACUGUCCUGUUUUUAGCUCCAUGCUGUCUGCGUGUUGUAUUUUAGCAUUGCUCCACAUUAUUUGUAGCAAUUUAGAUUUCAACUUUUAACCUUUGUUCAGUUUUAUGCUCUUCAUAUUUGUUUUUCAUAGUUGUGUCUCAAGCAAAUGUUUUACUUGUGUUUGUAAAUAUGUUAAUAAAAAUGUACAGUAUGUUUGUAAAGGUUGAAUUUUACAUUUGUUUCCAUCUGUCUGAUUAUAUGAGAAAUAAUUUAUAUUUAUAAAUGACAAAUUUGAUGAUUUAGAUUCAACGUUUUUAAUAAUAGUCACUUAUUUUUUUAGCUACCUUGUAUGCAUGCAUGAAUGAAUAACGUACUUUAAUUGAACAGAAAUGUUACAUAGAUUAGCAAUUAAAGGGAUAGUUCAACCAAAAUGAAAAUUCUGUCAUUUAUUACUCACCCUCUUGUUUACAAGCAGAGGAAUGCACACUGAUGGACUAUUUACACACAUUAUUUUAACUGUCUUUUAUCUUUUUGGGCAUUGGACAUGGUAGUUGUGUUUCUGUCUAUGCCGGGUCAGAAAGCUCUCCGAUUUCACCAAAAAUACAUUAAUUUGUGUAAAAGAUUUUGGAAAAAAAUCCAAGUCCAGGCACUCAAUAGGAUGCAAAAGUAAAAAAGCCUUUAAUGGUUGGGCUAAAGCAUUAAAACACCAACGCGUAUCGGCCCAUUGGCCUUCAUCAGGGUGUUGGUAACAAACAGACAGAAUCACGCAGUACUUAUAGUUGCAUUGGUUUCAGGUGUGCCACUCUGGCACUUGUAACACAAUUUUUUGGCCACUAGAGGCAAUAGUUCAGAUAAUGGCUAAUACCAAAGAUCAAACCAUACAAAUACAAGAUAAGGGAUCUCCAAGUGGAAGAAAAAAAAAAAAAAAAAACAGGAGAGAGUAACACCAAUACAAACAUCUUGUGUACUCCACACAAUUAUAUCCAUAAAGUCAAAUAAAUGUGUAGAGGCUAGUUACCCAUCUUACUUCUGGAUUCAUUGUCAAGAUAGUUCCAAAGCAACAGGAGAAAAAUAUGUUUAUGGGCAUUACAGUACAUUAAAAGAACAGUCAACAUUCACGGACAACAAUACACUG
Carassius auratus (goldfish) is the source of this 3647-nucleotide long non-coding RNA. NCBI's taxonomy places the organism in Eukaryota, Metazoa, Chordata, Actinopteri, Cypriniformes, Cyprinidae. The record is from Ensembl.